Molecule: ribosomal RNA, 450 nt
Filed under: uncultured bacterium
Lineage: Bacteria
Description: partial 16S ribosomal RNA
Rfam family: Bacterial small subunit ribosomal RNA
Source: RNAcentral
GUGGGGAAUUUUGGACAAUGGGCGCAAGCCUGAUCCAGCCAUGCCGCGUGCAGGAUGAAGGCCUUCGGGUUGUAAACUGCUUUUGUACGGAACGAAAAGACUUCUUCUAAUACAGGAGGUCCAUGACGGUACCGUAAGAAUAAGCACCGGCUAACUACGUGCCAGCAGCCGCGGUAAUACGUAGGGUGCAAGCGUUAAUCGGAAUUACUGGGCGUAAAGCGUGCGCAGGCGGUUUUGUAAGACAGGCGUGAAAUCCCCGGGCUCAACCUGGGAAUUGCGCUUGUGACUGCAAGGCUGGAGUGCGGCAGAGGGGGAUGGAAUUCCGCGUGUAGCAGUGAAAUGCGUAGAUAUGCGGAGGAACACCGAUGGCGAAGGCAAUCCCCUGGGCCUGCACUGACGCUCAUGCACGAAAGCGUGGGGAGCAAACAGGAUUAGAUACCCGAGUAGUCC